Apodemus sylvaticus (European woodmouse) is the source of this 5311-nucleotide long non-coding RNA. RefSeq lists it as uncharacterized. The transcript is spliced from 5 exons. The record is from RefSeq and is a predicted model, not a curated record. Lineage: Eukaryota; Metazoa; Chordata; Mammalia; Rodentia; Muridae.
UGAUAAUCUGAGUUACGUGGGGGCAAUGAAGAAAGAAAGACACCAGCCCUACGUGAAGUCUGCUGACUUUAAGCGACGACCUCAUCUCCCCUUCCCUUCCCACCGUGCCACACGAUGCCAUUCCGCCUAUGAAACUGAUCUGAGAGGUGGACUUUGCUCAGCUGCUGUCCUUCCCUGACAGGAGGCCUGCCUGCUCAUUGUCCUUCCGGGGUCACUUUAUCUUGGACAUGAAGAGAUGUCUGAAGCCUCAUCCUGCUGAAACGGGAAAACCUGUGCAUGUAUCACAUGAAGCGCAAUUCUCUUCUUGUUCUUUGUGUUUUGUGUGCAACCCAGUAUCCUCCCCUCGCAUUAAGAUGCGUUCAUUGCUGUGAAUUUCCCUACAUUUAUCUUGCCACAGACUUCAUUUUCGGCAAAGCAGAUUCCACACCAGCUUCCUUCUUUAUGCUUAGAGUCUUCUUUUAGUUCCUUCAUGUGCAUAUCUUACCAGCUCUUUAAUCUCCCGCCUCGUGGAAUAGAUCCAGUCUUUAAUCAUGACUUUUGGUUACUGUUUCUUCUCGCUUCUGUUGAUUUUUUCUCUCCUGCCCAUGUUCUCUUCAUCUGCUGUCUGCAUUCUGUGUGUUCCUAAGUAAAUGUGGAUACCUGGACGUGUUCCUUGUUUUCUGGUUUUAUUUUUUCAGUGAGUAUUUUCAACGAUGAUGUUUUCAAUCUUAUUUAGGGCAUCGCCACAGAAGCUAGCUCUGCAGACCAGCUCAGCAGCUCAGAGCAGUCUGGCUGCAGUAACCAUGAAGGCAUCUUGGGCGACCUGGUGAGGUGCAUAACCACUUGAGAAGCGGAGGCAGGGGUGUUUCCUUGAGCUUGAGGCCAGCCUGACUGAUGGGGUAUUUGGCCAGGUGGCCAGGGCUGUUCUGGAGUGUUUUGAAAGCCAGGCUGGCUGUGAGCUGGUGGUGAGCCUAUGCCGCUGUCCCAGAGCGACCUGCUUUGUGAUAUCCUUCACUGAUGGCUGAGACGCUGGCUGUGUCCUGGGCUUCAUUCCACAUAUACACCUGAUGUUCAAAAGUAUUUUCUGAAUUUGGAUAUGCAACAACAGAGCACAGUCAAUAACUGAAAAAAAAUGUGAUGUAUAAUGUAGGAUUCAUAAUCACAGCAUAAGUCACGAGGUGGUUAAAAAACACACAAUUCUAAAAACAAAACAAAACAAAAACAAAACCCUAACAUUGUAUUUAAAAUUUGUUAAAUAAUAGAUGUUUGGUAUUUUUAAUGUUGACAUUUUACUUACUAUUCAUUACAAGUAAAUUGGAAGCUGGAUUAAAUAUCUGUCACUUGCCCUGAUUUAUUCUCACUUAGUAUUGAGUAUUGCUGUGCAUGACAAAGACCACUUUCAUAUUGUGGCCUUCAAGUGGGAGAAACUUUGUACAUAAAAUUUCAAUGUGUAUUAUUAAUGCCGUGAGUAAUUACUUGAAAUGAAUUUUUAAAAUUGUAUUGUAUUUAUUUGUUACCUGUGUGUGUAUGGGUUGUGUGUGUGUGUGUGUGUGUGUGUGUGCAUGCACAAGUGUGGAACAGUGAACAACUUACUGAGGUUGAUUCUUUUCUUCCUCUGUGUAGUUCAGGGUUUAAACUCAUGCAUCAAGAUCCAUCUGUGACCAGGGGUGUGUGUGUGUGUGUGUGUAUCAAGAUCCAUCUGUGACCAGUGGGGUGUGUGUGUGUGUGUAUGUGUAUGUAUAUGUGUGUGUAUGUGUAUAUGUGUGUGUGUGUAUAUGUGUGUGUAUGUGUGUGUGUAUAUAACAAUCCCUGACCUAAGAAUCAGAAUUCUCAGUAAAUAUUUAUUUUGUAAAAAUGGUAAAAGUGUUACAAGAAAUCAUUUAACACUGGUGGGAAUUUUAAUUCUCUGGACAACUCUUGGAAAGCUGUAGACAGCAGACAGUGGGGUCCAGUCACUGAGAUCCUUUCCCAGAAGAGUCUGCAAGCAUUGGAGGUGAAGUGCAUCUUGGGAAAAAUCUGCCAGUGUUACUUGCUUCUCGUGAUGAGCUUUCUCUUCUCAGAUACCCCUGCCACACGUGAUGGAUGUCAUAGCUCCUUCUCAGGAGGAAACCGCUUCAGCGCCACAGCACUUGUGAAGCCUAUCUGCGGUCAUCGCUGAUAGAGUCACUUCCUAUGUGUUCAUUACGGUCUGUGACACCUCAGUUGUGCCCUGCGUAUUGGCUUGCAAAGACCAGGAUUUGGGCACAGGUUCUCGAAUCACAUCAACCCAGGACUACUCUCCGUGGCCAAGCAGGUUUCCACUUCAAGUGUAUACAUUCCGAUCAGUGUAUACGUAGCCAGAAGAUACAACCCUGUCUCUGGUUCUCUGUGCCGCCGUGUCUCCAGCUUGGAAGCUCCAAGGCUACACCGCACUGUUAACUCACAUCUUCCCACAGGCUGGAUGUUGGCAUCCCUUCCAACGUCAACAUGCUAAGUCACCGAUUCGUUACCAGAUAACUUGCGUCUGACUUCUCCUCGGGCUCACUAAACACCCCACAUUGGUGGUGCUUCACAUAGGAGAUUCUCUAAAGAGCCUCAUUCGAGGAGAGACAACGGAUGUGUCGCACGAGAAAAGAGGGCUUUCCCAGUCAGAAGGAACAUGAGCUUGUCCACAAACGCUGGAAUUUGAACUGGGGAGCAGCGCUGUGUUAAACCAUAACAAAGACUGCGGCAAAAGAAAAAUCAGGAAUACUGUUGCUAUCUUUAUUUUAACGUUUGAUCCAUUGCAGCCUGCACCCACCGGAUUUUAUCAGCGUGGUCCACUGAAGCAUCCAUCGCCUGGCUGCAUCGCUAAAGAAAAUGAGUAUCUGCCGCAGCAGGUGGCAAAACAUUAGGAAAAUAUAAGGAGGUGGGAGAUUUCUUAGGAAAAUAGAAAUUGUCAAAACUUAGUGGGGACACCUGGGGGCUCCCAGAGACUGAACCACCAGCCAAAGAACCUAUACCGCCUGGACUGAAGCCCCAUGCACAUAUGUAGCAAAUUCCUUGGUCUUCAGGGGGCUGGCCCUGACUCUGUUGCUUACCUGUGGCUCUUGGUCUCCUAACUGGGCUGCCUGGUCUGGCCUCAGUGGGAGAGGAUGUGCCUAGUCCUGCAGUAUCUUGAGGUGUCAGGGUGGAUUCCCGGAAAUGAAGGGAGUGGGGGGAUGGACUGUGUGAUGGGUGGGGGACUGAGAGAAGGGGUGGCUGCGGUUGGAGUGUCAAGUGAACAAAUACAGAAAACGGAAAAAAAAAUAUUUAGUGAGAAUAGAGGGGAAUAUGUUCUGACCAAACGGGACCCGAACUGGAUUCUGCCUUUUUUAAAAUCAACAUGCCCGUCUGGUAUCACAUUUGGUCCAAAACCUAGGUUAAUCAAAACCUAUGUUGAUAACUUCAGGCUUUUGAGAGUUCAGCUUUUAAAAGCUGCCCAUCUAUAUAGAAGAUUCCAAAGAGCUACAAAGAGAAUAAAGAAAUCCAAAUCACUAAGGAACUUGGACUGUCAUCUGAGUUAAGAAUCGAUCUCGCAGGUGCGGAUCCCACUGUGAUUAAAGGUCAGUGAUGGACCAUCCCCAGGACAGAACCUAUGACAGGGACAGGGAAUGCACAUUUAUGUCAAAUUCAACAUGGAGUCUGUGAAUGUUACACGAAUACUGACCAGGUACCUUUGAAACUCAGCAGCAAACAAAGCACUAGGUAAAAUUAAAUGGAAAAAAAAGACAGAGCCAGGCUAGAGACUAUUUGCCAAAACUAACAGCCACCAUCACAGGGAACACGGGGACAGCAGUCAGCGCCGUCGAACCGAGAGCUGGAAAUGGGAUCCAGACGAGCAGCUUUACUGUAAUUCGACAUCAGAGCUAUUCUUCUCCAUUAUGGUAAGAAGAUAAGAAAAUGAAAUAUUCGGCUUAAGCAUUAGACACAAAGGAACAAAAGGGCCUUUAUUUGAAGAUGACAUCAUAGUGUCCUUAAGAAGGCUGACAUUGUGCUAACGCUCAGCUAGGAAACGGGGUAAGAUGGUUAUACAUAACAUAAAUACACAAAGCCGGCUUCUUUUCUCCAUUUGAGAAACUAAUUAGAAAUGGAAAUGUCCAAAGUUAUUGAAUUGUGCUUUGUUCUGAGUAUAAGAAAGGCAUAAGCAAAAUUCUAAAACCCGGUCAGAGCUUGAGGGAUAAGGAUUGGUAAAAGAUACGUAGCAGAAACUCCUUCAGACUCAAGGAAUAAAUUCCUCUCACAUCAUAAAUGUAAAGCAAAGACAAUUCUGAAUUCCAGUGGGAUUUUCCCAGAACUUUACAAGAUAACUUUUAAAUUCUUAAGACGGGGAUACAGACGCUUGAAAGAAGUUAAGAUGGUGGCCAGGGCCUUCCCAAACUAGAUGCAAAAGUUCAAUAUGUAAAUGUUGUUAAUGCUGAUAAAGAAUGGACAGACUGGGGAGAUGGUUCAGUGGGUACAGUGCCUGCCAUGAAAUCACCAGGCCUGACCUCAGAUCCCUGGAAAUCACUUGAAAAUCUAGGUGGUGGGUAUUAAUAAUCCCAGUACUGCAAUAGCUGAGACACGCAGAUUCCUGGAACGACACAGCCAGAGAGUCUAAAGCAGCAGUUCUCAACCUGUGGGUCCCGUCCCCUGUCCCCAUGGGCUAUCUCCAGGAAUGUUUACAUUAUAAUCCAUAACAGUAUCAGAAUUACACUUAGGAAGUAGCAAUGAAUAUAACUUUAUGGUUGGGGAUCACCACAACACGAGGAACUGUCUUAAAGGAUCGCAGUGUCAGGAAGGUUGAGAACAACUGGUCUUGGGGAAUUGGUGAGGUUCACAUCCUAGUAAGAAGAGGCCGUCUCACAAAUUAAGGGCGUAAGUGACUUGAGGAGGACAUAUGAUGUGGACCUCUUGGUAAAUGUAAAUACACACACACACACACACACACAUACACACAGACAGACAAACAGGCAGGCAGGCAGACUAGUCAGUGGAAAAGAAUAGCAAUCUAAAAUGCAUAAUUUGCACAUACAUAGCAAACCUGUAUUCUGUUUCAAUGACUAGUCCACUCAAAUUACCUCUGCCUGUUCUGUGUGUGACGGGAGGAGACAAGCUAGUAUUGUGAUAUAUAUACAUACAUAUACACAUAUACACACAUACACAUAUAUACAUAUAUAUAAUAUAUGCAAUACAUAUAUAUAUAUGUAUAUAUAUAUACAUAUAUAUAUAUCCUGCAACAUGGCUCAGCUCAGUGGGUCAGUUGCUUUGUAGCUCAAGUCUGACCUAGAGUUUUAUCCUUGGUGUUCACAGUGGAAGGAAGGAACUGACGCCCCAGUGUUGCCCUCUGACCUCC